CCCUUAGAUGUUCUGGGCCGCACGCGUGCUACACUGAGUGGAUCAGCGGGUCAGGUUGCGCGAAAGCGUUUCCUAAUCUUGAAAUCAGCUCGUGAUGGGGAUUGACGGUUGCAAUUUUCUGUCAUGAACGAGGAAUACCUUGUAAGCGCGGGUCAUCAUCCCGCGCUGAAUACGUCCCUGCCCUUUGUACACACCGCCCGUCGCUCCUACCGAUUGAGUGGUCCGGUGAGGCUUUGGGAUCUGAGCGGAAAGAGCGUUUCGCUCGUUCUGCCCGGAAAACUCAGUCGAACCUUAUCAUUUAGAGGAAGGAGAAGUCGUAACA
This 322-nucleotide ribosomal RNA is filed under the name uncultured eukaryote. Its description in RNAcentral is "partial 18S ribosomal RNA". It matches the Rfam family "Eukaryotic small subunit ribosomal RNA", at positions 1470 to 1796 of the family's 1831-position model. The record is from RNAcentral.